AUCAAACUGAGCCUCGUUCAGGAGCCCAGCAGUGGUAAACUGUGGUUUUUGAGGCUUUAACCAGCAACGUUCAGCCAGGUCUGUAUCAGAAAAUAAAAAAAACUUAAACUCGACCAGGAUUUUUCUGGCAGGACUUUGUUUCAGUAGUGUGUGAAAUUUGUAUUGCACUGGCGUGUCUGUAUAUGCUGAUGAGCUACUAGUGGAAAACCACUGGAAAAUAAUGAACAAUUAAAGUCAAAGUAAACUUUAUUGUCAUUCAGACUAUACUAUAGAGUGUUGUAUGACACAGCUGAACGAGAUUGCGUUUCUCAAACUCCAAUGUGCAAAUAUAACAAGAGCAUAUAGAUGUAAGACAACAGAAAGACAUACUAGACAUCAUUUAGUUAAGUAAUAGCUGCAUUAUGAAGAUAUUAACUAGAAAUAAAUAUGUUCAGACAGUCUGUGUGUGUGUUUAGGAGUUGUGAUAGGCUGGCAUGUAGUGUAUUGUUAAUGAAGUUAGGUAGUUUAAUGGCCUGAUAGGCUGGUAUGUUGUGUGUUGUUACAGGGAGUUGAGUAGUCUGGUGUCUUGUGGAAAGAAGCUCUUGCUGAGUCUGGUAGUCUUGUAUGGCAUGCUGUGGUAGCAUUUGCCAGAGGGCAGACGGCUGAACGGUCAAUAGGUCAGGUGGGUGGGGAACUAAUAUAACUAAUUAUAUUGUGCUAAAAAGUUGGUGAAGUACUGAAUAACUGUGAGGUUUAAAACAGAAGAAACACCUGCAACUGAAUCCUAAAAAAUACCAAGCUCAAAUAAGGAACCAACGAGAAGAAUCAGAAGCCAGAUUUAUUUUACAAAUCCUAAGAGAUACGACAUGGAUAAGAAGGAGGAACCCAUGAGUUAUUCAGAAGCUGUAAGCAAGGCUGCCAGUGCAAUGUGUCGUUCUCCUUUAAUAGAGGUGCAGGGCGUCCCCCUCAUGAACUGGAUCGCCAACAACUGGAGCCUGAUUUCAGCCUUCCAACCAGAUCCAUCUGAUUUACUCAUCGCUACCUACCCCAAAGCAGGAACUACCUGGACUCAGGAGAUUGUGGAUCUGCUGCUGCAUGAUGGAGAUGCCGAGGUUUGUAAGCGAGCACCUACUGCUGUACGCAUCCCGUGCCUGGAGAUCCAAUUUCCUCCCCCAGUUCCUUCAGGUCUGGACGUACUCAAAACAAUGAAACCUCCAAGAGUCAUCAAAACACACCUGCCCAUACAGCUAGUGCCUAAAGGCUACUGGGAAAAUAAAUGCAAGGUGAUUUAUGUGGCUCGGAACGCGAAGGACAACCUGGUCAGCUAUUACCACUUUGAUCGAAUGAAUCAGACUCAGCCUGAACCAGGUCCCUGGGACCAAUACAUCCACAAGUUCAUGAGGGGAAAAUUGUCAUGGGGCUCCUGGUACGACCAUGUGAAAGGAUACUGGAGGGAAAAAGAAAACAGGAACAUCCUCUACCUGUUCUUUGAGGACAUAAAAGAAAACCCUCGUCAAGAGAUAUUAUGGAUCAUGCGCUACCUGGACUUGUCACUACCUGAUGACAUAAUUAACAAGAUUGUGCAGCUGACAUCUUUUGAAGUGAUGAAGGACAAUCUGAUGACCAACUACACCUUCAUUCCAAAGACAGUGUUAGACAGUUCCAUCUCCCCCUUGAGAAUGGGAAAGGUGAGGUUGGAGACUGGAUUAAUCAUUUCACCCCGGCUCAAUCCGAAAUGUUCGAUGAGAACUACACAAGACAAAUGGCGGAUGUGGACAUUCCCUUUCGUACCAGCAUAUAAUUCAGCUACAGAUGAUGAGCGGGAGCGUGGAGUUGAGUAGUCUGGUGUCUUGUGGAAAGAAGCUCUUGCUGAGUCUGGCAGUCUUGCAUCGCAUGCUGUGGUAGCAUUUGCCAGAGGGCAGAAGGAUGAACGGUCCAUAGGUCAGAGGUGCAGGGCGUCCCCCUCAGGAGCUGGAUCGCCAACAGCUGGAGCCUGAUUUCAGCCUUCCAACCAGAUCCAUCUGAUUUACUCAUC
This is an RNA transcript of Trichomycterus rosablanca, 2014 nucleotides long. It is a transcript of the gene named sulfotransferase 1B1-like, with no coding region annotated. The record is from RefSeq and is a predicted model, not a curated record. The transcript is spliced from 9 exons. Lineage: Eukaryota; Metazoa; Chordata; Actinopteri; Siluriformes; Trichomycteridae.